CACACACGUCUCAUCUCCAUUCUAUCUUUAAGAUCACUCUGUUAUUCAAUCUUAUCUCCUCCCUUCUUGGUUCUCACCCAAACACUAAACUUCCUGCUUAUCCACGUCUCUUCUCUAAUUUAUCUUUAUCUCUCCCCCUUCUCUAUUCUCAUCAUAAAAGAGACCUGUUGAGUUUCUAUUUUAUCUUUAUCUCUCUCUCUCUCUCUUCUUUGUUCUCAUCAUAAAAAGACUUGUUGAGUUCCCUCUCUCCCUAUUUCAGAUUUCGGCUUGAAAGGCUGGCGAAGAAAGCAGAAAAUAGAGUUUCUGCGAAGCAUUAGGGUUAAUUUCCAGAUUCAGUUCUACUUGAAAUUUCAGAUUUCGGCUUGAAAGGCUUGCGAAGAAAGCGUAAGAUAAAGGAUUCAAAACCAUCUUCUUCUUCUUCUUCUAUUUUUUAAUUAUUUUUUCUUCUUUUCCUCAGUUUAGUUAGUGUCUCUAAUGUUACGAUGAAUUAAUUAAUUUUUUUUUGUUUUUUUUUGUUUUGUAGUUUUUGUGUUUCAUGAUAUCAAUGCACUUAGCUGUAUGAAGGGUUGUUUGUAAUCUAGGCUACGGAUUAGUCAAAGCUUUGUAUUGAUCGCUCAUUUUCUCUAUUUAAUCAUUAAUCACCAACAAUAUGUAAAUUAUUAUUAUUAUAAAUUUGAUCUCAUGUGAAUUCGGUCAAA
Non-coding RNA from Camellia sinensis, 698 nucleotides. NCBI's taxonomy places the organism in Eukaryota, Viridiplantae, Streptophyta, Magnoliopsida, Ericales, Theaceae. The record is from RefSeq and is a predicted model, not a curated record.